RNAcentral lists this ribosomal RNA (521 nucleotides) under Fonsecaea pedrosoi. RNAcentral describes it as "LSU rRNA". It matches the Rfam family "Eukaryotic large subunit ribosomal RNA", at positions 114 to 651 of the family's 3401-position model. The record is from RNAcentral. Lineage: Eukaryota; Fungi; Ascomycota; Eurotiomycetes; Chaetothyriales; Herpotrichiellaceae.
UUUGAAAUCUGGCCUCUUGGGGUCCGAGUUGUAAUUUGUAGAGGAUGUUUCGGGUACCGCCUCGGUUUAAAUUUCUUGGAACAGAAUGUCAAAGAGGGUGAGAAUCCCGUCUUGGACCGGCGGUAGGGCCUAUGUGAAACUCCUUCGACGAGUCGAGUUGUUUGGGAAUGCAGCUCAAAAUGGGUGGUAAAUUUCAUCUAAAGCUAAAUAUUGGCCAGAGACCGAUAGCGCACGAGUAGAGUGAUCGAAAGAUGAAAAGCACUUUGAAAAGAGAGUUAAACAGUAUGUGAAAUUGUUGAAAGGGAAGCGCUUGCAACCAGACUUGAGCGCGGCGGUUCCCCCUUGCUUCUGCUUGGGUUACUCCGCCGUGUCCAGGCCAACAUCGGUUCUGGGGGUCGGUCAAAGGCUCUGGGAAUGUAUCUACCCACGGGUAGACUUAUAGACCAGGGUGUCAUGCGACCUCCCGGGACCGAGGAACGCGCUUCGGCUCGGAUGUUGGCGUAAUGGUUGUCAGCGACCCG